Molecule: ribosomal RNA, 260 nt
Filed under: uncultured bacterium
Lineage: Bacteria
Description: partial 16S ribosomal RNA
Rfam family: Bacterial small subunit ribosomal RNA
Source: RNAcentral
ACGAGUGGCGGACGGGUGAGUAAUGUCUGGGAAACUGCCCGAUGGAGGGGGAUAACUACUGGAAACGGUAGCUAAUACCGCAUAACGUCGCAAGACCAAAGAGGGGGACCUUCGGGCCUCUUGCCAUCGGAUGUGCCCAGAUGGGAUUAGCUAGUAGGUGGGGUAAAGGCUCACCUAGGCGACGAUCCCUAGCUGGUCUGAGAGGAUGACCAGCCACACUGGAACUGAGACACGGUCCAGACUCCUACGGGAGGCAGCUG